GGUCAAGUUAUUAAGGGUGCAGGGCGGAUGCCUUGGCACUAGGAGCCGAUGAAGGACGUGAUAAGCUGCGAUAAGCUUCGGGGAGUUGCACGUAAACUUUGAUCCGAAGAUUUCCGAAUGAGGAAACUCACUUAGAGUAAUGUCUAAGUAUCAUUAAGUGAAUACAUAGCUUAAUGAGGGGAACUCAGGGAACUGAAACAUCUAAGUACCUGAAGGAAGAGAAAGAAAUUCGAUUCCGUAAGUAGCGGCGAGCGAACGCGGAUUAGCCCAAACCAAUAAAGUUUUCUUUAUUGGGGUUGCGGACAUAUCAUAACGAAGAGGUAUCGUAAUUGAAGAGGUUUGGAAAGACCCACCACAGAAGGUAAUAGUCCUGUAUGUUAAACGAGAAGACUUCAGAUAUGAUCCAGAGUACCACGGGACACGUGAAACCCUGUGGGAAGCAGGAGGGACCACCCUCCAAGGCUAAAUACUACCUAGUGACCGAUAGCGUAUAGUACCGUGAGGGAAAGGUGAAAAGAACCCCGGGAGGGGAGUGAAAUAGAACCUGAAACCCUGCACUUACAAGCUGUGGAAGCACAUUUCUUGUGUGACCGCGUACUUUUUGUAGAACGGGCCAACGAGUUACGUUAAGUAGCAAGGUUAAGCACUUAAGGUGUGGAGCCGUAGCGAAAGCGAGUUUUAACUGAGCGUUCAGUUACUUGACGUAGACCCGAAACCGGGCGACCUACCCAUGAGCAGGAUGAAGCGAAAGUAAAAUUUCGUGGAGGUCCGAACCCACGAGCGUUGAAAAGCUCGGGGAUGACUUGUGGGUAGCGGUGAAAUUCCAAUCGAGCCCGGAGAUAGCUGGUUCUCCCCGAAAUAGCUUUAGGGCUAGCCUCAAGGUGAGAGAUACGGAGGUAGAGCACUGAAUGUCCUAGGGGGUAUUGCACCUACCGAAGACUAUCAAACUCCGAAUGCCGUCAUCUUAUACUUGGGAGUCAGACUGUGGGUGAUAAGAUUCAUAGUCGAAAGGGCAACAGCCCAGAUCGUCAGCUAAGGUCCCUAAAUGUAAGUUAAGUGGUAAAGGAUGUGGGAUUGCACAGACAACCAGGAUGUUGGCUUAGAAGCAGCCACUCAUUCAAAGAGUGCGUAAUAGCUCACUGGUCGAGUGAUCCUGCGCCGAAGAUUUCCGGGGCUAAAACUUACUACCGAAGCUACGGCAUCAGUAAUGAUGGGUAGGGGAGCUUCCCAUACGGGUUGAAGCAUGACCGUAAGGACAUGUGGACAGUAUGGGAGUGAGAAUGUUGGCAUGAGUAGCGAGAUGUGGGUGAGAAUCCCACAGGCCGUAAACCCAAGGUUUCCAGGGGAAGGUUCGUCCGCCCUGGGUUAGUCGGGACCUAAGCUGAGGCCGAAAGGCGUAGGUGAUGGACAACAGGUUGAUAUUCCUGUACUACCGAUAACCGUUUGAGAGAAGGGAUGACACAGUAGGAUAAGCUAAGCACACUGUUGGUUAUGUGUGCCCAAGCAUUGAGGCAGUCAAAGUAGGCAAAUCCGCUUUGAUAAUGCUGGGAUGUGAUGGGGAGCGAAAUUUAGUAGCGAAGUAGCUGAUUUCACACUGUCAAGAAAAGUCUCUAUCGAGGUUAAAGGUACCCGUACCGCAAACCGACACAGGUGGGUGAGGAGAGUAUCCUAAGGCCAGCGAGAGAACUGUUGUUAAGGAACUCGGCAAAAUGACCCCGUAACUUAGGGAUAAGGGGUGCCACCAUCAGGUGGCCGCAGAGA
Molecule: ribosomal RNA, 1761 nt
Filed under: Clostridioides difficile
Lineage: Bacteria; Bacillati; Bacillota; Clostridia; Peptostreptococcales; Peptostreptococcaceae
Description: partial 23S ribosomal RNA
Rfam family: Bacterial large subunit ribosomal RNA
Source: RNAcentral